This is a long non-coding RNA of Girardinichthys multiradiatus, 578 nucleotides long. RefSeq lists it as uncharacterized. NCBI's taxonomy places the organism in Eukaryota, Metazoa, Chordata, Actinopteri, Cyprinodontiformes, Goodeidae. The transcript is spliced from 3 exons. The record is from RefSeq and is a predicted model, not a curated record.
AGCUAAUUUAUGAUGAAAUGUCUGUGUGCCUAGGUGUGUCUUAAUUGUGUGUUUAUAUUGUUGUUUGUAAAGGCCCUUCUAGGGACGAGCACUGCAAAUUAGUCACGGCUAUAAGUGCUGUAGUAUCUCUCAUGUAAAAUGUACAGUAUAUACUUGUCCCUAUCAAAAAAUAAAUAAAUAAAAUUUGCUUUGCAACUGCAGCCCAAUAGGGGAUUGUAACCACUUCUGCUCGGGUUUACUUUAUAACAAACACUUUUUCUUUAAGGAAGUCCAUUUGAAGGAAUCUCUUUCACUACCUAAUUGGUUCCACCUGAACUCAUAACAAGCUGAUGGGCAAGUAUGCUAUUUGUCCUUGCAAAUGUGUGAUUUUUGGUUAGGUAUUUUUGGACCAGCACACACACACAACAAAAUACUAAAAUCCUCUACAAAGUCAGGAUGCGUGAAUUGACAGCUGGCAAAUGACACAUGCUGUGAGUGCAAUUCACGCUGGCUGAGUGCAGAGACUGGAUUUUUUCAGUGCGUGCACACGGUAAACCCGACGAGGAAUACACCUCCAAAUGUACAAAGGAGCAGACGGG